Molecule: ribosomal RNA, 618 nt
Filed under: Cystofilobasidium infirmominiatum
Lineage: Eukaryota; Fungi; Basidiomycota; Tremellomycetes; Cystofilobasidiales; Cystofilobasidiaceae
Description: eukaryotic LSU rRNA
Rfam family: 5.8S ribosomal RNA (bases 169-322)
Source: RNAcentral
UCCGUAGGUGAACCUGCGGAAGGAUCACUAGAGAUUUCGCCCUCCGGGGCUCUCUUUUUCUUCACACACCCCUGUGCACUUUGGCUGCCGCUUCAUUGCGGUGGUCUUUUAUAAUUACCAUACCCAUAUACACAAGUCAUUGAAUGUAAAAUCGUUAUAAACUAAUAUAACUUUCAACAACGGAUCUCUUGGUUCUCGCAUCGAUGAAGAACGCAGCGAAUUGCGAUAAGUAAUGUGAAUUGCAGAAUUCAGUGAAUCAUCGAAUCUUUGAACGCAUCUUGCGCUCUUUGGUAUUCCGAAGAGCAUGCCUGUUUGAGUGUCAUGAAACUCUCACCUGCAGCACUCUUUUAUUAGAGGGCUGGAGCGUGGACGUGAGUGCUGCUGGUGCCCUCGCUGCAUCGGCUCACUUGAAAUUUAUUAGCUGAAUCCUCUAGUGUUGGUUCUACUCGACGUGAUAAGAUCUCCGUCGAGGACAGUGCUCCUUGUGGGCGUUGGCCACCGCUAGCUGUUGAUACGCUCCUAAUUAGCGCAGACUUCGAGUGCUGGCAACUUUUGACAACUUGGCCUCAAAUCAGGUAGGACUACCCACUGAACUUAAGCAUAUCAAUAAGCGGAGGA